Molecule: ribosomal RNA, 135 nt
Filed under: uncultured bacterium
Lineage: Bacteria
Description: partial 16S ribosomal RNA
Rfam family: Bacterial small subunit ribosomal RNA
Source: RNAcentral
UCGGGAAUUUUGCGCAAUGGACGAAAGUCUGACGCAGCAACGCCGCGUGAGGGAUGAAGGCCUUCGGGUUGUAAACCUCUUUUAUCAGGGAAGAUGAUGACGGUACCUGAUGAAUAAGUCACGGCUAACUACGUG